UCAGGCCUAACACAUGCAAGUCGUACGAGAGUUUUUAACUCUAGUGGCGGACGGGUGAGUAACACGUGAGAAUUUGCCUUUAGGAGGGGGACAACAAUUGGAAACGAAUGCUAAUACCCCAUAUGCUUUAGAGUGAAAUGGAUUUUAUCCGCCUAGAGAGAAGCUCGCGGCUGAUUAGCUUGUUGGUAAGGUAAGAGCUUACCAAGGCGACGAUCAGUAUCUGGUUUGAGAGGACGAUCAGACACACUGGAACUGAGACACGGUCCAGACUCCUACGGGAGGCAGCAGUGGGGAAUUUUCCGCAAAGGGCGAAAGCCUGACGGAGCAAUACCGCGUGAGGGAAAAAGGCCUAUGGGUUGUAAACCUCUUUUUUCA
RNAcentral lists this ribosomal RNA (375 nucleotides) under uncultured bacterium. RNAcentral's name for it is "bacterial SSU rRNA". It matches the Rfam family "Bacterial small subunit ribosomal RNA", at positions 42 to 441 of the family's 1533-position model. The record is from RNAcentral.